RNAcentral lists this ribosomal RNA (253 nucleotides) under uncultured bacterium. Its description in RNAcentral is "partial 16S ribosomal RNA". It matches the Rfam family "Bacterial small subunit ribosomal RNA", at positions 524 to 776 of the family's 1533-position model. The record is from RNAcentral.
UACAGAGGUCCCAAGCGUUGUUCGGAUUCACUGGGCGUAAAGGGUGCGUAGGCGGCCGGGUAAGUCUGAUGUGAAAUCUUGCGGCUCAACCGCGAAACUGCAUUGGAUACUAUUCGGCUUGAGGGUUGGAGGGGGGACUGGAAUUCUCGGUGUAGCAGUGAAAUGCGUAGAUAUCGAGCGGAACACCAGUGGCGAAGGCGAGUCUCUGGACAUUUCCUGACGCUGAGGCACGAAAGCCAGGGGAGCACACGGG